Molecule: unclassified non-coding RNA, 372 nt
Filed under: Camponotus floridanus (Florida carpenter ant)
Lineage: Eukaryota; Metazoa; Arthropoda; Insecta; Hymenoptera; Formicidae
Description: uncharacterized LOC105253346, transcript variant X2
Source: RNAcentral
GGAAAAUGGAAUUUUUACUAAACGCGAUGUUCUUCCUGAUUUUUCCCUUCGCGGUUUGCUGCUAUCGUCUCAAGAGAUUUUUUCGACUCGACCGAAGACGCUGUUGCUCGAGCGAAUCUAAAUUUGGCGAGCGACAAGAGCGAACAUACGAAAACGAUCUGCGUGAACACUUAUGGCGAUAGUCGCGAUUCGCAAAUGGAAGCCGAGGACAUCGAGUACGUGAUGAACGAAUUGAACAAGUCUGAGGAAUCGUUACGUAAUCAUAGUAGAAAUAAGAGAAAUCGCUGCAUAAAAGAAUAUCGAUCGUGUCAUUAACACCAUUUGAGAAAUAAGUUUGACGUGAAUUGUCAUAGGAAUUUUCAGCUUGCAAGA